CUCCGUCACCAGGAAGAUGACAUCGUGCGCAUCCCGCUCGGGGACUGGGAUCUGGCUCAGGAGGUUGGAUGCGUCCAGCAGUGAGCUGAGUCGAGCGCUGGGGACACUUUGCCUCGAAUGAUAUCAGCACCAGCAGGAUGAAGGAGUCGGAGAUGGUGGUGGGAGCAACCACUCGGAAGCGGAUGGCAUCCUGGGCGAGCCAGAAGGGCUUCUGCGGCAUCUCGUGCUGGUAGAAAACCAUCCCAGCGUCCACCUAGGAGGGAGAACAUCUCACUGAUUUCAGCUCAAUGGCAAAAUAAAGUCUGGGGAGGGGGCUGUGA
This is a long non-coding RNA of Numida meleagris (helmeted guineafowl), 320 nucleotides long. RefSeq lists it as uncharacterized. The transcript has 2 exons. The record is from RefSeq and is a predicted model, not a curated record. Lineage: Eukaryota; Metazoa; Chordata; Aves; Galliformes; Numididae.